Molecule: long non-coding RNA, 338 nt
Organism: Grammomys surdaster
Lineage: Eukaryota; Metazoa; Chordata; Mammalia; Rodentia; Muridae
Exons: 3
Source: RefSeq, a predicted model, not a curated record
GUCCAGCCAUGCAGAUCGAUGCCAGCGACCACUGACGGUGACCUGCAACUCCACAGAGCAUGAUACUAUCUCCAUUCUGCAUGGGUGUGAGCGGACUCUAGGAUUGCAGGACACGCCUCCAGAGAGUAGACUGCCUACCUUGCUGCACCUGAGCACUGGACCAUCCCAUCUUCCUUUGUAGGCUGGCACUGAUACCCACCUCCCAGGGACUGUGAAGGAGAGACUUGGUGACAAGAGUGUGCUGGACGAUGUCACUCAGCCCUCUGAGGGGAAAGGACAUAAUGCAGAGCACUGAGUGUGUGGUGGACCCCGCUGGAGAAUCAUACUUAAGCAGGACC